This is a long non-coding RNA of Cucumis melo (muskmelon), 3161 nucleotides long. RefSeq lists it as uncharacterized. The record is from RefSeq and is a predicted model, not a curated record. Lineage: Eukaryota; Viridiplantae; Streptophyta; Magnoliopsida; Cucurbitales; Cucurbitaceae. The transcript has 4 exons.
CAAAAUUUAUUUCCCUCCACCCUCUCCGUCGCAUUCGCCCACCGGCACGCUCCGUCGCCGUAGUUCUUUUUAUUUCUUCAUUUCCUUUCCGCUUCAAACCCCGCCGUCACACACGAGUACUGCAUUCUUCUGCUCUUCGACUGAGGUCAACACUCUUGUCUUCCUCAACCUCUCCCUCUCUUGCUCGCCGUAGGCAUCAAUUUUUUUUGUUCAGUUUAUUUUCUUCGUUUAGCUGAAAUUUGAAUGUGGUCAAGUUUAAUCGAAAAUCCUCCCGAAUCCGACACAAGCUUGUAUUCGAACUAAUUAGGGUUAGUCUUUCGUUGUUUAUGCUUCAAUUUUUCUAUAAUAUCCUCUGUUAAGCCUAGAAAUGAAGGGAAUACAAAAGAAUUGUUUGUAUAUCUUACUCUCAGGCUUAAGGUUGGGGGUGGGGGUUGGAAGUUUUCUUUCUCUCAUAGUUUUGAAUAAUUUAUGGUCUAAAUUGUGGGCAUUGAUGUCAGGUUAGGCCUUAUAUCUCUCCUUGUGCACAUUUCUUGCUCGUAUAUGUAAUUGUAGAAACUAAAUCACGGUUUCCUUUUUAUUUUAUUUUAUUUUUUCCUAAAACGUUUGAUUCUUGUGUUAGGAUAAUUCCAUUAACUUUCAUUUGUUCCUUGAUCCUUCAUUUCGUCUUCAUCAAUCAUUUCGUCUCUGUUCUUCAUUUAUUCAUUUCUUUGUCUGCAUCAUUUAUUUUUCACCUCUUCAAUUCUCUGUUCGUCAUUUCGUCUUUGCCUCGUACCCCUGUUUGUCAUUUCGUUUUCACACUUCGCCAUUACGUUGUCACUGGUAAGUAGCAUUUUCACUAUUUUCUCAUCUCUUUGCUUUGUUGUGUGUUUUUGUUGUUUAGAACACUUUCCUCGAGUAAAGGUAUUUUGGUUUAAUUUGGUUGAUGGGUUUUGAUUUCUUGAAAGCAGAAAUAGUGUUUAAUUUAGGCCCCUGACUGUUCGUCAUUUCGUUUUCGCACUUCGCCAUUCCGUCGUAUCAGUAGCAUUUUCACUAUUUUCUCAUCUCUUUGCUUUGUUGUCUGUGUUUUUGUUGUUUAGAACACUUCCCCCCAAUAAAGGAAUUUUGGUUUAAUUUGGUUGAUGAGUUUUGAUUUCAAGUAGAAAUAGUGUUUAAUUUAGGAUAUGGUGUUGAUACUGCCAAAAAAGUGCCCAGAUGAUGGUAUUGAUGUGUAAGUUAUGUCCAGAUGAUCAAAAAUGCCCAGAAAUGCUCAGAUGAUGGUAUUGAUGUGUAAUUUAUGUAUGGUAUAGAUGUGUAAGUUAUAAUGUAUUUGUUCACUAGUUUUCUUUUAAUGUAUUUGUUCAUGUAAUGUGAACAAUCAACAAACAUAUUUUUGCUUGAUUCUACCGCCAACUUCAUUCUCUCUUCACAUAAAAACCAACUCCCACUUUACAGAAAAAAGAGGAAGGGUCCGUGAUGAUGGGAAAAGUAGUUGAGCUUUGGCUGCUAUUUAUAGAGGUUAAUAGUUGAGGCUGGGGAGUGACACUGUUUGUUCCUUGUUUUUUUUAAGCCAUUAACCCCCUUAAUUUUAUUGUCAAUGAGACAUGUGUAUGUUUAGAGGUGUCCAAGCGUUGGAGCUGUGGCAUUAUCAAAUUCUAUAAUAGGAAUAAGCCAAAAUUUCCUACCGUAGGACUAUACUCACAUUAUUUAAAUCCCUACGUCCUUGAUGCCUACGUCCUUCACUCAAGAAAAUUGUAGAAUAAUGACUCUAUGGUUUAAAUCCCUACUCUCAAAUCUUUAUUUACAUUUUUUUUUGUUUUAAAUUGUUAACCUGUUAAAUAUUGAAUCUUGUUUUUUAAGAGUCUUGAAGCAUAGUGAUGGAAGCACUUUGAGUUAUAUAAACAAGAUGUAACGUAGAUAAUAGAUUCAAUCGUAGGUAAAAGAAAAUUUAACGUAUUUGAAUAACUUUUUUGUUGCUAUUGCUUCAAAUGCACAUCUGUGUUCUGGCUUAACGAUGUUUGAGUUUAUGGUUUAAAUAAGAAGCCAAGCUUGAGAAAAAUGAAAAGAACUACUAGUAUGUGCUUUCUGUAAUUGAUGUUUUUGUUCGCGGGAACUAUACUUCUUUCAUCAACUAUAUAUUUGUUUUCUGCUGCUGAUAUGCACCUCUCAUCAACUGCCUCAAGUUGGAGUCGAGGAAGGGCCUGUUGAUUGCGAUUCUAAGCCGUUUCCUACUAGUCCCUGCAUUUUACUUCAUAGCGAGGCAUCUGAGCAAAAUGCAUUGGGGAAUUUGCUUGUAAUGUUCCUUUUAGGAGGCAUUUUUAGUGGAGUUGCUCUUAAUUGGCAGUGGAUCAUAGGAAAUGGAAGCUUUUGAAGCAUUUGACUUGAAGUUAAUAUUAUUAGUCAGGAGCUACGGCAUGACUUGUGGGCGCCACGCCCAGCCACCAUGCACCUUUUGCCUCGCCGAAUGACGAUCACCCCACGUUGAACCCUUCAAAGGUCAUGCAGAUAUGAAGUUGUUAGACUCGAUCUGUGUUGUUCUGUUCGAGUUCCUCAAGGAUUUGGUCGCCAAUUGAGUUACUCCAAUACCCAGUCACUGUUCGUCACUGUUUUGAAGUUGCAUUGCCGUUAGCCUUGCUCUCUUCUAACCAUUAUACCUCAAAUAUGAGAUUAAUGAUUUGAAUUUUAAAAGAGUUUGAGCUGCUGCUUGCCACUCAGAAGCUAGAAAUGAUCGGGCGCUUUGGCACAACUUGGAUAAGAUUUUAAGCUUUAUUGAAUGGGUCUCUAGAACCCGUUGAUCAGUUUUGGUAUCAUUAUUAAGCAAACCAGGGUUUUUGGAUGCUAAGAUUUGAUAGUUAAAGGCCGUUAGAGGAUUUUUCAUUGAAGUUAAGGUUACUUUGCUAAGUGUUGGAGUGAUUUAAGUGAAUUUUCUUCGAGUUCUUACAUGUCCAUUGAGUCUAAGCAUUAACAUUAGAUUAUUCAUAUUACUCAGGUCCUGAAGUUAACUUUUAGAGUUCAAGAAGAUAAUUUCUUCUAACUUUGGAGGUCAUGGGUAUUGUUUUAUAUGUUCGGAACAUAAAUAGUUUGGGUGAUCUUAGGAAGUGUUUAAGAUGCUUGACUCAUAGUAAUAUAAUGGAUAUAAAAAAUUUUCUUUAGAGAGAAUCUCUACUAGAAUCUCUCCGAAAAAA